AGAUUAAGCCAUGCAUGUAUAAGUAUAAACGACUUGAUCGUGAAACCGCGAACGGCUCAUUAUAACAGCUAUAAUUUACUUGAUCUUGACAACCUACUUGGAUAACUGUGGUAAUUCUAGAGCUAAUACAUGCACCAAAGCUCCGACCGUAAGGGAAGAGCGCAUUUAUUAGAACAAAACCAAGCGGCUUCGGCCGUCCAGUGUUGACUCAGAAUAACUAAGCUGAUCGCAUGGUCUUGUACCGGCGACGUGUCUUUCAAGUAUCUGCCUUAUCAACUUUCGAUGGUAGUGUAUCUGACUACCAUGGUGGUGACGGGUAACGGAGGAUAAGGGUUCGACUCCGGAGAAGGGGCCUGAGAAAUGGCCACUACGUCUAAGGAUGGCAGCAGGCGCGCAAAUUACCCACUCUCAGAAUGAGGAGGUAGUGACGAGAAAUAACGAGACCGUUCUCACAAGAGGCCGGUCAUCGGAAUGGGUACAAUUUAAACCCUUUAACGAGUAUCUAUGAGAGGGCAAGUCUGGUGCCAGCAGCCGCGGUAAUUCCAGCUCUCAAAAUGCAUAGAAUUAUUGCUGCGGUUAAAAAGCUCGUAGUUGGAUCUGUGCUGGCCUCCCGGUCCACCUUCGGGUGCGCACUGGUGAGGUCGGCUUUCCUGCUCGCUUCGUGCUAGUGCCCUUCACCGGGUGUUAGUUACGUGUGGGCAAGUUUACUUUGAACAAAUCAGAGUGCUUCAAACAGGCGUUUCGCUUGAAUGUUCGUGCAUGGAAUAAUAGAAGAGGAUUUCGGUUCUAUUUUAUUGGUUUUAUAGACUGAGAUAAUGGUUAACAGAGACAAACGGGGGCAUUCGUAUUGCUACGUGAGAGGUGA
RNAcentral lists this ribosomal RNA (865 nucleotides) under Tylenchorhynchus mediterraneus. Its description in RNAcentral is "SSU rRNA". It matches the Rfam family "Eukaryotic small subunit ribosomal RNA", at positions 41 to 914 of the family's 1831-position model. The record is from RNAcentral. Lineage: Eukaryota; Metazoa; Nematoda; Chromadorea; Rhabditida; Telotylenchidae.